RNAcentral lists this ribosomal RNA (497 nucleotides) under uncultured bacterium. RNAcentral describes it as "partial 16S ribosomal RNA". It matches the Rfam family "Bacterial small subunit ribosomal RNA", at positions 29 to 507 of the family's 1533-position model. The record is from RNAcentral.
AAUGAACGCUGGCGGCAUGCCUAAUACAUGCAAGUCGAACGAACAGACAGUAAGCUUGCGCCCUUGCCGUUGGCGGCGGACGGGCGGGUAACGCAUACAUCACCAUCCUAUAUUUCUGGGAUGACUACGUAAGGCCAGAUCUACUACUACCGCAUAUAUUCUACGGCAUGGUUCAGUAGUUAAUGACGCCUUUGCUGACUCAUAUAGCUGAUUCCGCGCCGCAUUAGCUAGUUGGUAAGGUAACGGCCUACCAAGGCAACGAUGCGUAGCCGACCUGAGAGGGUGAUCGGCCACACUGGAACUGAGACACGGUCCAGACUCCUACGGGAGGCAGCAGUGGGGAAUCUUCCGCAAUGGGCGAAAGCCUGACGGAGCAACGCCGCGUGAGUGAUGAAGGCCUUCGGAUCGUAAAGCUCUGUUAUUGGGGAAGAACAGAUGUGGAAGAAACCAUGCACGUUUUGACGGUACCUAAUGAAAAAGCACCGGCUAACUACGUG